UGAUUUAAAGGCAUACAAGGACUCUAUCUUCUCCCACAAAUUUUUUGCAUGUGUCUCAUUAGCAAUAUGACUAUAAAAAUUAUCUUCUACAUAUUGUCACAUGUCUGUUGAUGUUCAAACUCUCAUUCUUCAUCAGACACACAAUCCGACUUUGCGAAACUAAAACCCAACAAAUGCAAUUUCUUCACAAAUAGUAAGUCU
RNAcentral lists this long non-coding RNA (201 nucleotides) under Lathyrus oleraceus (garden pea). RNAcentral describes it as "Pisum sativum (pea) long non-coding RNA (PSAT_LNC028047)". The record is from RNAcentral. Lineage: Eukaryota; Viridiplantae; Streptophyta; Magnoliopsida; Fabales; Fabaceae.